Molecule: non-coding RNA, 2982 nt
Organism: Peromyscus maniculatus bairdii (prairie deer mouse)
Lineage: Eukaryota; Metazoa; Chordata; Mammalia; Rodentia; Cricetidae
Source: RefSeq, a predicted model, not a curated record
GUCCUGUAAAUAUUGAGAAAAUAUGUCUCCUAAAUUUAUUCUUAACAUUAAGUGAUGGACACUGAUGAACACUGUCAUUAGAAUAAUGUAUUUUCUGCCCACAAAAUGAUAUUGGAAAUGAAUCAUCCAAACUCAUAGGGGAGCCAAUGAUUUCUACACAUCAUUCAAGACUGCUGGAACACAAUGGGGAUUAUACCAUCGUGGAUUCUGGCUGGUGUACCUCUGAAUGAAUGAACACAGAGCUUUUUCCUGGCAUCACAGUGUACCUUUCCAAAGGGAGAGGAUGGUGUCUGAGGUAUAUUGCCACACAACACCCUUAUUAACAGGCUGCUGAUUGCUACAAUUUACAUCAAUGAAGAGCGGAUCCCUCUGAUUUCACGUGGGUUUCAGACAAGUUGGGACGGACCAGAAUCUUCCAAAGCCCUUGUUCUGAAAGUGGCCUUCCCAAAGCUCCUGCAACGGUCGAUAUUCCGUGCCACAGGCUAUUUGGUGCAGUGGACCAGAGGCUAAUAAAACUGUCCUUAUGCAUAAGCCACAGUACUAUGUGACUGUGUCUGGGCCAGGAACCAAGGCGUGCUAUGAUUUCAGAGCCUGGAUUCCUGUCACCUGGGGAGGAGACACGCUCCGGUGACGUAAGAAAGCAGAUAAAUCAACCAUCCCCAAGACCCGCGGCCUCUGAAAUUAAGGGAGAAAAUCUGCGGCAGUUGGUUCAGUUGGCACCCAUUAAAGCUAAUAACUAAUCAUUCUCGCAAGUUUCUAGCUCAGAACGAUGAGAUCUGUAAAGAAAACAACAUCCGUCCACUUUUACACUCCAGUGGAAGGGGUGGUCCCUCGCGGCGGGGCGGCACAGUCUCGCCAUCUGGAGAAUAAAUCGAGUGUGAAGUACAGUAUAGUUUGGGACCAAGCUCCGUGGCGGCCGCUCAGCAGUCAGUUCAUUAGCCCCAAACUUCCAGGGAUUAGAGGGGCAUCAAUUCUACUGUCGGAUAGGAUGAGACAGACAGGGCACGGGAUUCAAGAAGCAUCGAGACAUCCAGGAGCCCCCUCGGGUUUAUUUAUAGAAUCACAAAGUAUAAACACACUCAAAUACGAGCCUUAAAUAACAGCAUCAUCAGCUCCCUAACAUCUGAGCGAACACCUUCCCUCUGCGCCCUACCCCAAACCGUGAAGUAAAAGUAUACCUUUUACCAGGACAGGGGAAAGCUCGCCUCCACCAGAAGCUGAGAUCUGGUAAUUAAGAAACAGAAAGGGCCUUCUAGACUCAGGGGAGGUGUGCAGCAUUUGUAAUUAAAAACAUAUAUAAAAUUAAUAUUUUCAUUCCAUAAAUAUAAAUGUCAUGCUUUAUGUUCCAAAGCACUAGUAAAUUCUGCCUUUUAUAGAUUGGUCCAUCUUAACCCAUUUCCAUUUCAUCUACUUGUAAAGUGAGGUCACAGGUAUGGACUCUUCCAAGUUUUGAGCAUAAGGCCUUGAUAUCAGCAUCUUUAUAUUAAAAUUGUCAAUGUCAAGAAAAGAAAAAAAACCAAAAAGUUUGUGUGAACUGUUCCACCUAAAGACCUCCUUUUUCAUCUGUUUUCUAAACAUCUGUAAUAAAAACCAGAAACAUCUGUGACAAAAUAGGUAGUCAUAAGGAGACCAUGUUGCAUUUCUUUAUCAGUGUUCAGAAUUUAUCAUUACAGGGGUCACGAAGAGGGAUGUAGUAACCAAAUCGAAAAACAUAUUCCCCGAUUCCUGCAAAGAAUUAGGCAAGAGACAGUGUUGGCAUUUAAUAAGGCAUUAAUUGUACAAAAUAAUGAGUUUUGUUCUGACUUUUCAAAUAUGCACAGGACUUGCUUUGAUCCUAUGAAUUUCUAGCUCAUUGGUUUUUGUUGUAGUGUGGAAAAGAAAUCUUGGUUUGUUUCCUAAAAGAAAAAAAAGAAAGGAAAGAAGGAACAGAGAAAAGAAAACCUCACAUUGAUGACAUUCAGUAUCUUAACUGACUCAAAAUUUCAUGCCUUGAUUCAUCCUACAGCCUUCUACAUGUCAUCCCUAUUUACUCUGAAACCAUAGAUUUUGAUACAGGAGAGCUUUUAAUAUGUUAAUCAUGAAAGAUACAUUAAAACAAGGGCUUAUGGCAAAAAAAAAUUACAAACCAUCUUUCAUUUCAAGGACUGAAAAGGCUCAGGAAGCUUACAGCAUGGAAUUGGAAUUUGUCAUUUCAGAGAUUUAAUUGACUCUACAACCCACAGAUACAACACAUAAACCACAACAAUGACAUUCAAAACUCUAUGAGAAGAGUUUAUUUUAUGGUCUCCAAGUAAUUAAAAACAUUUCUAGCAGAGCCAGCAAGAGAAGCUCUGCAGGCAAAGGCCCUGCUGCCGAGCUUGAGGAUGUGAGGCCGAUCCCCCAAACCACACAGUGGAAAUGAACUGGCUCCUGAAGGUUGACCUUUGACCGUCACAUAGCCAGGUAGCUGCAGCAUGCACUGUUCCCCAAAUAUUUUCAGUGUGAAUGACACAGGGCUUUACAUGUGUAUCACAUAAAGGAUGUAUACAGAUUUCACCUAAAAAAUAGAGAAUGAACUACAAACAAGUGUCCAUCUCUAGUCGAUGAUAAGCAUGCAGUAGGACUGAGGGGAGGCUGAGUGGGCUGUCUGCAACUCACAUUGGAAUAAAUUUCAAAAGAUGAGUUGAUGAUAGACAAGAGAACAGACUGAUACAGAGGAGGGCAGGCAGAAUAACGUGUUAGUGGGAAAAUACAGCUGAGAAUACUUGACAUUCAUUGUAUAAUCUUCCAAAUUUUCUGAUGCUCAGAAUUCUGGUAAUAAAAUUAAGGAGAAAAAAAAUCCUGAAAAGAUUUCUAAAAUGUUCAUAUUUGGAGGAGCUGGUCAAUGACUGUAUGUUUGUUAAAAACAAACAAACAAACAAAAACCCUCACAGUUCUUAACAUUUGUGUAUAUUUGAGAAUUCCCACAAUAAAAAGUUUCACUUUGUUAUUUGUAGGACACAA